UGCCACAGUCAUAUCACCCUGCAGCCCAAGACUGGUUGCCCACUGAAGCUAAGCGGGGUUGAGCCUGGUCAGUACCUGGAUGGGAGACCUCCUGUGAAAAAUAGGUUGCUGCUGGAA
Molecule: ribosomal RNA, 117 nt
Filed under: Sinocyclocheilus grahami
Lineage: Eukaryota; Metazoa; Chordata; Actinopteri; Cypriniformes; Cyprinidae
Source: RNAcentral